RNAcentral lists this ribosomal RNA (491 nucleotides) under uncultured bacterium. Its description in RNAcentral is "partial 16S ribosomal RNA". It matches the Rfam family "Bacterial small subunit ribosomal RNA", at positions 28 to 507 of the family's 1533-position model. The record is from RNAcentral.
GAUGAACGCUGGCUACAGGCUUAACACAUGCAAGUCGAGGGGAAACGCCGGGGAAGCUUGCUUCCCCGGGCGUCGACCGGCGCACGGGUGAGUAACGCGUAUCCAACCUGCCUCUGACUGAGGGAUAACCCGUCGAAAGUCGGCCUAAUACCUCAUGGCAUCGUCUGCGGGCAUCCAACGACGAUUAAAGAUUUCAUCGGUCAGGGAUGGGGAUGCGUCUGAUUAGCUAGUUGGCGGGGUAACGGCCCACCAAGGCGACGAUCAGUAGGGGUUCUGAGAGGAAGGUCCCCCACAUUGGAACUGAGACACAGUCCAAACGCCUACGGGAGGCAGCAGUGAGGAAUAUUGGUCAAUGGGCGAGAGCCUGAACCAGCCAAGUAGCGUGCAGGAUGACGGCCCUAUGGGUUGUAAACUGCUUUUAUGCGGGGAUAAAGUGAGGGACGUGUCCUUCAUUGCAGGUACCGAAUGAAUAAGGACCGGCUAAUUCCGUG